AGUGGCGAACGGGUGAGUAACACGUGGGUAAUCUGCCCUGCACUCUGGGAUAAGCCUUGGAAACGGGGUCUAAUACCGGAUAUGACACUGGAUCGCAUGGUCUGGUGUGGAAAGUUCCGGCGGUGCAGGAUGAGCCCGCGGCCUAUCAGCUUGUUGGUGGGGUAGUGGCCUACCAAGGCGACGACGGGUAGCCGGCCUGAGAGGGUGACCGGCCACACUGGGACUGAGACACGGCCCAGACUCCUACGGGAGGCAGCAGUGGGGAAUCUUGCGCAAUGGGCGAAAGCCUGACGCAGCAACGCCGCGUGGGGGAUGACGGCCUUCGGGUUGUAAACCUCUUUCGACAUCGACGAAGGCCCCUUGGGGUUGACGGUAGGUGUAGAAGAAGCACCGGCUAACUACGUGCCAGCAGCCGCGGUAAUACGUAAGGUGCAAGCGUUGUCCGGAUUUAUUGGGCGUAAAGAGCUCGUAGGCGGUUUGUUGCGUCGGCCGUGAAAACCUGCAGCUUAACUGUGGGCUUGCGGUCGAUACGGGCAGACUUGAGUUCGGUAGGGGAGACUGGAAUUCCUGGUGUAGCGGUGAAAUGCGCAGAUAUCAAGAGGAACACCGGUGGCGAAGGCGGGUCUCUGGGCCGAUACUGACGCUGAAGAGCGAAAGCGUGGGGAGCGAACAGGAUUAGAUACCCUGGUAGUCCACGCC
Molecule: ribosomal RNA, 699 nt
Filed under: Saccharopolyspora sp. I11A-01914
Lineage: Bacteria; Bacillati; Actinomycetota; Actinomycetes; Pseudonocardiales; Pseudonocardiaceae
Description: bacterial SSU rRNA
Rfam family: Bacterial small subunit ribosomal RNA
Source: RNAcentral